UACGUAGGGUGCAAGCGUUAAUCGGAAUUACUGGGCGUAAAGCGUGCGUAGGCGGUUAUGUAAGUCAGGUGUGAAAGCCCAGGGCUCAACCUUGGAAUUGCAUUUGAGACUGCAUAGCUAGAGUGCGGAAGAGGGAAGCGGAAUUUCCGGUGUAGCGGUGAAAUGCGUAGAUAUCGGGAGGAACACCGGUGGCGAAAGCGGCUUCCUGGUCCAGCACCGACGUUCAGGCACGAAAGCGUGGGGAGCAAACAGG
This 253-nucleotide ribosomal RNA is filed under the name uncultured bacterium. Its description in RNAcentral is "partial 16S ribosomal RNA". It matches the Rfam family "Bacterial small subunit ribosomal RNA", at positions 524 to 776 of the family's 1533-position model. The record is from RNAcentral.